Small nuclear RNA from Camelus dromedarius (Arabian camel), 108 nucleotides. NCBI's taxonomy places the organism in Eukaryota, Metazoa, Chordata, Mammalia, Artiodactyla, Camelidae. The record is from Ensembl.
GUGCUCGUUUUUGGCAGUACAUAUACUAAAACUGGAACAAUACAGAGAAGAUUAACAUAGCUCCUGUACAAGGAUAACCAGCAAAUUUGUGAUGUGUUCCGUAUCUUU